This 497-nucleotide ribosomal RNA is filed under the name uncultured bacterium. RNAcentral describes it as "partial 16S ribosomal RNA". It matches the Rfam family "Bacterial small subunit ribosomal RNA", at positions 28 to 507 of the family's 1533-position model. The record is from RNAcentral.
GAUGAACGCUGGCGGCGUGCCUAAUACAUGCAAGUCGAGCGAACAGACGAUGAGCUUGCUCCUCUGACGUUAGCGGCGGACGGGUGAGUAACACGUGGAUAACCUACCUAUAAGACUGGGAUAACUUCGUGAAACCGGAGCUAAUACCGGAUAAUAUAUUGAACCGCAUGGUUCAAUAGUUCAAGACGGUUUUGCUGUCACUUAUAGAUGGAUCCGCGCCGAAUUAGCUAGUUGGUAAGGUAACGGCUUACCAAGGCAACGAUGCGUAGCCGACCUGAGAGGGUGAUCGGCCACACUGGAACUGAGACACGGUCCAGACUCCUACGGGAGGCAGCAGUAGGGAAUCUUGCGCAAUGGGCGAAAGCCUGACGGAGCAACGCCGCGUGAGUGAUGAAGGUCUUCGGAUCGUAAAACUCUGUUAUUAGGGAAGAACAAAUGUGUAAGUAACUAUGCACGUCUUGACGGUACCUAAUCAGAAAGCCACGGCUAACUACGUG